UGGGGAAUAUUGCGCAAUGGACGAAAGUCUGACGCAGCAACGCCGCGUGGGUGAAGAAGGCCUUAGGGUCGUAAAGCCCUGUCAGAUGGGAAGAAACCUGCCCUUGAGGUAGCUGACGGUACCAUCAAAGGAAGCACCGGCUAACUCUGUGCCAGCAGCCGCGGUAAUACAGAGGGUGCAAGCGUUGUUCGGAAUCACUGGGCGUAAAGGGCGCGUAGGCGGCUUUACAAGUCUGGCGUGAAAGCCCGGGGCUCAACCCCGGAAGUGCGUUGGAAACUGUAGAGCUUGAGUUCGGAAGAGGAGGGCAGAAUUCCUGGUGUAGGGGUGAAAUCCGUAGAUAUCAGGAGGAAAACCAGUGGCGAAAGCGGCCCUCUGGAACGAAACUGACGCUGAGGCGCGAAAGCGUGGGGAGCAAACAGG
This 420-nucleotide ribosomal RNA is filed under the name uncultured delta proteobacterium. Its description in RNAcentral is "bacterial SSU rRNA". It matches the Rfam family "Bacterial small subunit ribosomal RNA", at positions 355 to 776 of the family's 1533-position model. The record is from RNAcentral. Lineage: Bacteria; Deltaproteobacteria.